RNAcentral lists this ribosomal RNA (460 nucleotides) under uncultured bacterium. RNAcentral describes it as "partial 16S ribosomal RNA". It matches the Rfam family "Bacterial small subunit ribosomal RNA", at positions 330 to 793 of the family's 1533-position model. The record is from RNAcentral.
ACCAGACUCCUACGGGAGGCAGCAGUGGGGGAUAUUGCACAAUGGGGGGAACCCUGAUGCAGCGACGCCGCGUGAGUGAAGAAGUAUUUCGGUAUGUAAAGCUCUAUCAGCAGGGAAGAAAGAGACGAAAGUCUUGUGACAGUACCUGACUAAGAAGCCCCGGCUAACUACGUGCCAGCAGCCGCGGUAAUACGGGGGGUGCAAGCGUUGUCCGGAAUCAUUGGGCGUAAAGCGUUCGUAGGCGGUACGUCAAGUCUGAUGUUAAAGCCCGGGGCUCAACUCCGGUUCGGCAUUGGAUACUGGCAAACUAGAAUGUGGUAGAGGUAAAGGGAAUUCCUGGUGUAGCGGUGAAAUGCGUAGAUAUCAGGAGGAACAUCGGUGGCGAAAGCGCUUUACUGGACCAUUAUUGACGCUGAGGAACGAAAGCCAGGGGAGCAAAUGGGAUUAGAUACCCCAGUAA